ACUACGGGUGGCAGCAGUGGGGAAUAUUGGGCAAUGGGCGCAAGCCUGACCCAGCAACGCCGCGUGAAGGAAGAAGGCUUUCGGGUUGUAAACUUCUUUUCUCAGGGACGAAGCAAGUGACGGUACCUGAGGAAUAAGCCACGGCUAACUACGUGCCAGCAGCCGCGGUAAUACGUAGGUGGCAAGCGUUAUCCGGAUUUACUGGGGGUAAAGGGCGUGUAGGCGGGAAAGCAAGUCAGAGGUGAAAACCAUGGGCUCAACCUGUGGCCUGCAUGUGACACUGUUUUUCUUGAGUACGGGAGAGGCAGACGGAAUUCCUAGUGUAGCGGUGAAAUGCGUAGAUAUUAGGAGGAACACCAGUGGCGAAGGCGGUCUGCUGGACAGCAACUGACGCUGAGGCGCGAAAGCGUGGGGAGCAAACAGGAUUAGAUACCCCGGUAGUC
Molecule: ribosomal RNA, 443 nt
Filed under: uncultured bacterium
Lineage: Bacteria
Description: partial 16S ribosomal RNA
Rfam family: Bacterial small subunit ribosomal RNA
Source: RNAcentral